This is an RNA transcript of Scleropages formosus (Asian bonytongue), 2441 nucleotides long. It is a transcript of the gene named charged multivesicular body protein 1b-like, with no coding region annotated. NCBI's taxonomy places the organism in Eukaryota, Metazoa, Chordata, Actinopteri, Osteoglossiformes, Osteoglossidae. The record is from RefSeq and is a predicted model, not a curated record. The transcript has 9 exons.
AGUGUUAUUACAAAGCGGAAAGGAAGAAAAUAAAAUACCGUUAGAAGUGUUACUACCGUUACUACCCGUCGUCCCGCAGCUACUUUUAGUGUUUGUUGCUGGUGUAGUUAAGCAGGUGGGCUACGGGGCUGCGAGGGAGCUCCCUGGGCGCUCGUCUGAGUCAUGUCGAGCAUGGAAAAACAUUUGUUCAACCUGAAGUUUGCCGCCAAAGAGCUGCAGCGGAACUCAAAGAAAUGUGAUAAAGAGGAGAAGGCAGAGAAGACAAAAGUGAAGAAGGCCAUUCAGAAGGGAAACAUGGAAGUGGCCCGCAUUCAUGCGGAGAAUGCCAUCCGGCAGAAGAAUCAGUCUAUCAACUUCCUGAGGAUGAGCGCACGGGUGGAUGCUGUAGCUGCCAGGGUGCAGACAGCAGUCACCACAAAUAAGGUUACAAAGUCGAUGGCAGGAGUGGUAAAGAGCAUGGACGCAACUCUGAAGAGCAUGAAUCUGGAGAAGAUCUCAGCGCUCAUGGACAAGUUUGAACAUCAGUUUGAGACACUGGAUGUUCAGACAGCACAGAUGGAGGACACUAUGAGUAGCACAACCACUCUUACUACACCAGAGAAUGAGGUAGAGAACCUGAUGCGGCAGAUGGCAGAUGAAGCUGGGUUGGACCUGAACAUGGAGCUUCCCCAGGGCCAGACCGGAACAGUGACCAGUAGUGUGGCAUCCACAGAGCAGGACGAGCUGUCACAGCGGCUGGCCAAGCUCCGAGACCAGGUCUAGCAGAGCGGGUGCAAGCAAGCAGUUUGUCCGAGACAGAGUUCUGGAUGCUCUUUCAUGUACGCUUACUGCCCUAGACAGGGACCCUCAUUCAAGAUUACUAUCUCUUUUUCUCCUCUCUCUCUUUUCUUUGUUGUCAUAACCUCUAUCUUGGAGCAGAAGUACUGUUUUGAGAUAAGACUCUAGUGGACCGAAUGGCCCGGAUCCAUUUUCUGUUGAAUUUGAAGGCUGUAAUUUCAAACUGCUAAAAGGGCCGAGAUAUUCUAUAGGUAUAUACAUAAAAGGUACUAUAUAUUUUGUGUAUGUACAUGGGGUGUUUGUAUAUAUUUGUACAAUAUGAUACAUUAACAUAACGGAAAACCAAAUAAGCAUUAUAUACACAUACAUAUUUGUACUUACCUCUUGUUUUCCCUGUUUCUAAUAUUAUUUAGCAAACUGACUGAGUUCUGUGUAAUGACGGUAGUAUAUUUAUAUGUAGUUAUCAUAUGGAUGACAAAUGUUUUAAGGGCUUGCAGUAAAUUUGAGUAAAAGAACAGGAGUAAGAUGGGCUGGUGGUUUCACCCUUGCACUGAUGGUCAUCGCACCAUGACUGUGUAUCAGACAGACAAUCCGAACAAGACUACUUCCUUUUUGACUGUUUCGCUUCCUGAUACUUGCUGCAGUAAAAAGAUCCUGCUGCACUGGACACACCAUGUCAACCCAUCCCUUUCAAGACAUCGAACACUUGGAACUAUAAGAUAUUGUCCCAUCAUGAAAUGUAACCAAUGUUACCAUUCUGGCAAGCAGAAGUCACCAGACCAUGUACACACACACAGACAAUUGUACACCAGGCAGGUCCUGUUAACUGCCCAUCCUCCCCUGCUUCUCCUUGGCUGAGCUCUAAAUGGUCUGCUUUGAUACCAGCCUGUGCACCUUUUCCCCAACAGGAAACAGAUGAGGAGGUCAAAUGUCUCACUUGUGACGGAAGCAGCUCUCAGUCACUCGCAUGCCAAGCCGUCAUUACCGUGCCAAUGAAGGGGAGGCUGAAUCGACCUUCAGCUGCAACCAAUUUCCGGUGCAGCCUGCAGUCCGCGUGCCAACCCCCACCCGGCAGCUGCCCCAAACUCAGAGCUGCAUGACCUCUGCCUCUCGGGGAAGCUGCGUCCCGCCCAAUUAUAAUCAAGGGCUGAUGGGCAGCCCAGCUGGGCAGAAGCUGUCUUUACACUCAUUGUGCACCACAUUUUCACUUCAUGUUACUCUAGGUAUAAUUUUUUUUAGUAUCAAAGAGGUAAACACUUCUUCAUAAGGGGCAGAGAGGAUGACCCUUUCCUCUCGACAGUUCCAGUAAAGAACUCCAUGUGAUCAUUUCCCAAAGCAGGUGAUAUUCUUCCUAAACUUUGUGCUUUCCUGGCAAUGCUUAGUCAUUUCACGGUUAUUCUGCAACAGUUCUGCAAAAUAGGUCCUUCUAGAAAUGGUUUAGAUCAGGUGUUGCACUCACUUGCUGUCACAGUUAAUGUCUUGUAAUUUUAAGAUCCACAUACUAUAUGGUUACACAUUUUGUUCACUACUGUUUGUUGGAUAUGUCUGAAUUUGUCCUAACUGGAUUACUCCCUAUCCUUAAAAGCUUGUCCAAGUCCAUGUCAUAGUGGUCUGGGGGCUACCCUCCCAGAGACAAGGCCAAGUAAGGUACACCCUUGACAAGA